GGAAUAUUGGACAAUGGGCGAAAGCCUGAUCCAGCCAUGCCGCGUGUGUGAAGAAGGUCUUCGGAUUGUAAAGCACUUUAAGUUGGGAGGAAGGGCCAUUACCUAAUACGUGAUGGUUUUGACGUUACCGACAGAAUAAGCACCGGCUAACUCUGUGCCAGCAGCCGCGGUAAUACAGAGGGUGCAAGCGUUAAUCGGAAUUACUGGGCGUAAAGCGCGCGUAGGUGGUUUGUUAAGUUGGAUGUGAAAUCCCCGGGCUCAACCUGGGAACUGCAUUCAAAACUGACUGACUAGAGUAUGGUAGAGGGUGGUGGAAUUUCCUGUGUAGCGGUGAAAUGCGUAGAUAUAGGAAGGAACACCAGUGGCGAAGGCGACCACCUGGACUGAUACUGACACUGAGGUGCGAAAGCGUGGGGAGCAAACAGGAUUAGAUACCCGGG
Molecule: ribosomal RNA, 440 nt
Filed under: uncultured Pseudomonas sp.
Lineage: Bacteria; Pseudomonadati; Pseudomonadota; Gammaproteobacteria; Pseudomonadales; Pseudomonadaceae
Description: bacterial SSU rRNA
Rfam family: Bacterial small subunit ribosomal RNA
Source: RNAcentral